RNAcentral lists this long non-coding RNA (603 nucleotides) under Podarcis muralis (Common wall lizard). RNAcentral's name for it is "lncRNA (ENSPMRG00000004721.1)". Lineage: Eukaryota; Metazoa; Chordata; Lepidosauria; Squamata; Lacertidae. The record is from RNAcentral.
AAACAAAUGCAGGUUUAAAUGCAGCUCGCUUUCUCUUCUAGGCUUGUCAUUUAGGGCUUGCUGUUCUGCUUUAAGCAAAACCUGUACCUAUGUAACCCCUAUGGCUUAAUUAGACCUGUUACUUUAAGGAGGUUCAAUGUUUUCAAGCUCUUGUGUGCAGAUGGGUGGGGAGGAACGGUGGCCUUUGGAAGCCAUUUUGACUAAGAGCUGCAAGAAAGGGAUUCAGGACAGGCCUGGCCUAUCGAGUUAUUUCAAGGGACACCUGGUAUAAUAAACCCACCUUUUCCUGCUGGCUUCUGGUGGCAGAUGGGUUACGGUCUUGUGUUCUUCAUCCCAUCUGCUACCCACUGUCCCCUACAUCCUCUGCUGGACCCAACCACUUUGCCUGUGGUCCCUUUACUUGGUACAGUACUUGCAUCUCCUUCCACAACUCUUUUCACUAUCUUUUACCUGCUAUGCAAUUUCUGCCUUCACUAUAGGCAUCAGGACAAACGUCUCUCCUGUCUGACUGAUGGACUAGCCCUAUAAUAAAUAAGUCACCCGUGGUAAUUGCUGGGGUGUUCUAACAUUAUCCGCAAACCUGUGGAGGGGUUGGAAGUUUUU